AUCUGGCCCCCAGGGCCCGAGUUGUAAUUUGCAGAGGAUGCUUUUGGCGCGGUGCCUUCCGAGUUCCCUGGAACGGGACGCCAUAGAGGGUGAGAGCCCCGUCUGGUCGGACGCCUAGCCUGUGUAAAGCUCCUUUGACGAGUCGAGUAGUUUGGGAAUGCUGCUCUAAAUGGGAGGUAUAUGUCUUCUAAAGCUAAAUACCGGCCAGAGACCGAUAGCGCACAAGUAGAGUGAUCGAAAGAUGAAAAGCACUUUGAAAAGAGGGUUAAAUAGUACGUGAAAUUGUUGAAAGGGAAGCGCUUGUGACCAGACUUGGGCCCGGUGGAUCAUCCAGCGUUCUCGCUGGUGCACUCCGCCGGGUUCAGGCCAGCAUCAGUUCGCCGCGGGGGAAAAAGGCUUCGGGAACGUGGCUCCUACGGGAGUGUUAUAGCCCGUUGCAUAAUACCCUGGGGCGGACUGAGGUUCGC
RNAcentral lists this ribosomal RNA (467 nucleotides) under Purpureocillium lilacinum. RNAcentral's name for it is "partial large subunit ribosomal RNA". It matches the Rfam family "Eukaryotic large subunit ribosomal RNA", at positions 120 to 596 of the family's 3401-position model. The record is from RNAcentral. Lineage: Eukaryota; Fungi; Ascomycota; Sordariomycetes; Hypocreales; Ophiocordycipitaceae.